CAGCAAAGGGGGGACCAACUCCAUAUUAAUGCCUUCCCAGAAGAGUGGAGGCUGUUAUAGCAGCAAAGGGGGGUCCAACUCCAUAUUAAAGCCUUCCCAGAAGAGUGGAGGCUGUUAUAGCAGCAAAGGGGGGACCAACUCCAUAUUAAAGCCUUCCCAGAAGAGUGGAGGCUGUUAUAGCAGCAAAGGGGGGACCAACUCCAUAUUAAUGACUUCCCAGAAGAGUGGAGGCUGUUAUAGCAGCAAAGGGGGACCAACUCCAUAUUAAUGCCUUCCCAGAAGAGUGGAGGCUGUUAUAGCAGCAAAGGGGGGGGGGACCAACUCCAUAUUAAUGACUUCCCAGAAGAGUGGAGGCUGUUAUAGCAGCAAAGGGGGA
Long non-coding RNA from Oncorhynchus tshawytscha (Chinook salmon), 376 nucleotides. Lineage: Eukaryota; Metazoa; Chordata; Actinopteri; Salmoniformes; Salmonidae. The record is from Ensembl.